Molecule: non-coding RNA, 74 nt
Organism: Podarcis lilfordi (Lilford's wall lizard)
Lineage: Eukaryota; Metazoa; Chordata; Lepidosauria; Squamata; Lacertidae
Source: the annotation of a GenBank genome assembly
GGAAGGUUGCAGCUGAGUGGUAGAGCAUCUGCCUUGCACACAGAAGGUCAUGGGCUCAAUUCCUGGCAUCUCCA